This 253-nucleotide ribosomal RNA is filed under the name uncultured bacterium. RNAcentral describes it as "partial 16S ribosomal RNA". It matches the Rfam family "Bacterial small subunit ribosomal RNA", at positions 524 to 776 of the family's 1533-position model. The record is from RNAcentral.
UACGGAGGGUGCAAGCGUUAUCCGGAUUCACUGGGUUUAAAGGGUGCGUAGGUGGGUUGGUAAGUCAGUGGUGAAAUCUCCGUGCUUAACAUGGAAACUGCCAUUGAUACUACUGGUCUUGAAUUUUCUGGAGGUAAGCGGAAUAUGUCAUGUAGCGGUGAAAUGCUUAGAUAUGACACAGAACACCAAUUGCGAAGGCAGCUUGCUAAACUGUAACUGACGCUGAGGCACGAAAGCGUGGGGAUCAAACAGG